Mesocricetus auratus (golden hamster) is the source of this 159-nucleotide small nuclear RNA. Its record names the gene U1. It matches the Rfam family "U1 spliceosomal RNA". Rfam says of the family: U1 is a small nuclear RNA (snRNA) component of the spliceosome (involved in pre-mRNA splicing). Lineage: Eukaryota; Metazoa; Chordata; Mammalia; Rodentia; Cricetidae. The record is from Ensembl.
AUAGUAGAUGAAUAUGAUAGUAUGAUCAUGAGUGUGGUUUUUCACAGGGUCAGUCUCAUCCAUUCUAUUCUAAAUGUGCUGAUGCCUGCAAUUCCCUCAAAUGUGGGAAACUUGACUUUUAACUUGUGAUAGUAGGUACUAUGUUUGUGCUAUUUCCUG